Long non-coding RNA from Mesoplodon densirostris (Blainville's beaked whale), 570 nucleotides. RefSeq lists it as uncharacterized. The record is from RefSeq and is a predicted model, not a curated record. The transcript has 3 exons. NCBI's taxonomy places the organism in Eukaryota, Metazoa, Chordata, Mammalia, Artiodactyla, Ziphiidae.
GGUUCCGGUCACUUCCGCCUGUCGGAACCCCGUUUCCCGCAGCCGCGCUAAUUCCGGCGCCCGGAACCUGGCGGGGACGGCGUGGAGUCCGACCCGAGACGCGGCCGAGGCUGCGGCCACGACCGGCCUGCAGCCCCAGAUGGAGAGCGGAGCCUAGCGGGCCCGGCCCGGCGGCGGGGACUUGCAGGCCCCCGAUACCCGGGCGCAGGAGCCGACACCCAGCCCUGAGCCAAUCCCGCCCUGGCCCCGGAGGGACUCCCGGGCGCCCUUCCCCGUGGCUCGCCGACUUCCCUCGGUGACGAAGUUUUCUCCUGUGCCUUCCCGAGGAGGAUCGCUCUCUAGCUCUAGGGCUCGCCUUCUGGCGGACUUGCUUGGUUCGCUUUGGGAGAGUUGAGCCUGGUCGUGGAGCGCUGGGGGUGGCGUGGUGUCAGCUGUAAGAUGCAAAUUGGAUAAAAGGAGGACCUCUCCCCAAGGGCCCCAAUGAAUGGCACACAGUCUACUAUCACCGACGGUGAAAGGAUACAGACUAAAAUCAGCAAAAGGAAGAGAAGCAUGGGGAAUGGUCCAGGA